Molecule: ribosomal RNA, 107 nt
Filed under: Canis lupus familiaris (dog)
Lineage: Eukaryota; Metazoa; Chordata; Mammalia; Carnivora; Canidae
Also listed under: 1 other name
Source: RNAcentral
GUCUACGGCCAUACCACCCUGAACAUGCCCCAUCUCGUCUGAUCUCGGAAGCUAAGCAGGGUCGGGCCUGGUUAGUACUUGGAUGGGAGAAAUGUUAACUAAAAAUA